AAGCGUAAUUAGAAUGGCUGAUUCAGCUGAUCGAGGAAGGAGACGUAAAAAGCGUUUAAUAAUACCUCCUAUGAAGCCAGGAGGACGAGAGAGAGAAUCAGAACAAGAUAAUCCACAACCAGGAAAAACUUUGGUUAUACUUGCUAAGCCCCAUCAUGACGAUCAACCACAUUCUGAAAGUGCUUCUAAGCCUAAUGAAGGAACUGGAAAGAGUCCAGCACGUACACCUGAAAUCAAAGCUCCAACAGUGCUACUAAAAACCCGAGAUGGUAAUGAAAAAGAAGGUAGUCGUUCUUCUUCACCAGGAAAUGUGACAUCCCAUUCCACGACAGCAGUGUCUCAUUCUUCUAGAGAUGUGUGCAGUAGCACUGCAGGUUCCUGUCCUGCCUCAAGUGUGGGUCAACAGCCAGUCUAUCAGAUUCAGCAGAAGUCGGGUCACAUUACCGGUGAUGAUCAGAAACUCUCCUUGCUACCAGAAAUGUCAACUCCAGUAAAACUCGUUGAUGGGGAGAACUUGCAGUGGUGUGAUAAUGCCAUGGAAUUUCUAGUGGACCAAACAAACUUCUAUGUCGUGGGUAUUCUAGGCCUACAAGGUUCAGGAAAAUCAACUGUGAUGUCACUUUUGGCUGGACAACUUGGGGAAAUUACGGGAAGACAGUUGUUUAAACCUGAGACCAGAGAACUCAGAGAAAGAGGAGAACACUGUACUUCAGGAAUAGAUAUUUAUGUAACCAGUGAACGUAUGAUUUUGUUGGAUACGCAGCCUUUACUUAGUGCUUCAGUAAUGGAUCACAUGGUUCAGUUUGAGAAAAAAAUCCCUUGUGGAACAGAUUAUAGAGCAACUGAAAAUGCUCUCCAAAUUCAGUCGUUACAGAUAACUGCUUUUCUCUUGACUGUUUGUCACACGGUCAUUCUUGUGCAAGAUUGGUUCACCGAUCCCAAUCUUCUCAGGUUCAUUCAGUCUGCUGAGAUGUUAAAGCCAGCAACACCAACAAACCCUCACGAGUUAUCUGCUUCCAUAGAAGAUACUACGGACUACUAUCCCCACCUAGAACAAAUGCCAGCGGGGAGAUUUUUCACCUUCCACGGUGUGCGACAUGGAGGAACUUUUGUUAAACGUCUUUCAGAAUUCAAAACUGAAACACACAGGGUCAGUCUGGAUGGAGUUUAUUCCCAUCAAAGAUGAAAGUUUGCACAUGGAAGUAGCUAAUUUAUUUCUUUUACCCGAGAGAGAAGCAGAAGAAAAAGGUGUUUUACCCAACUAUAGAGGUCACCCAGGAUUCAACAGCUUGGGAAGGUCCUUAACCCAACAGUUAAUGUCGGUGCCACGCAGUACUCUAACACACACUGCUUUGUCUGAGAAAA
This 1365-nucleotide unclassified non-coding RNA is filed under the name Limulus polyphemus (Atlantic horseshoe crab). RNAcentral's name for it is "protein SMG9-like, transcript variant X2". The record is from RNAcentral. Lineage: Eukaryota; Metazoa; Arthropoda; Merostomata; Xiphosura; Limulidae.